This 393-nucleotide ribosomal RNA is filed under the name Triticum aestivum (bread wheat). RNAcentral's name for it is "partial small subunit ribosomal RNA". The record is from RNAcentral. Lineage: Eukaryota; Viridiplantae; Streptophyta; Magnoliopsida; Poales; Poaceae.
AUGGUGUCUUCUGGGUCCAAGGAGCCACUUGGUGAUAUUGGUGUGCCAUCAACCACCUUGUUGGAUGAGUUUCUAAGCGGUUUCAGUUGCGCAACGCCGCGGUCCUUGCUCGAAGAACCGAUUCAUGUGCAGAUUGACGGGGCAUCUACUUGUUCCGAGAGGCGUAGUGGACGUUUGGAGAAGAAGAACAGGAGCUGCAACAUUCCUACUGCCAAGCGCGCUGAAUAUAGGUUGGCGGAGGCUUAUGGGGAACUCCCGAAGGGGAUGGCAUCUCAGAAAGGCUCCGAGGAGGAUGUGCAAGAGAAGAUGAACUCUUAUCUUCGGAUGUACAAGAAACCGCCUACGCCGACUGCGAUCCAGGCAAUUCGUUCAUUGGUGGAGGCCAAUGGUUAA